AUCUGGCUGGCUCACUGGGUGGAGCAUGAGACUCUUGAUCUCAAGGUUGUGAGUUCAAGUCCCACAUUGGGUA
Molecule: transfer RNA, 73 nt
Filed under: Ailuropoda melanoleuca (giant panda)
Lineage: Eukaryota; Metazoa; Chordata; Mammalia; Carnivora; Ursidae
Rfam family: tRNA
About the family: Transfer RNA (tRNA) molecules are approximately 80 nucleotides in length. Their secondary structure includes four short double-helical elements and three loops (D, anti-codon, and T loops). Further hydrogen bonds mediate the characteristic L-shaped molecular structure. tRNAs have two regions of fundamental functional importance: the anti-codon, which is responsible for specific mRNA codon recognition, and the 3' end, to which the tRNAs corresponding amino acid is attached (by aminoacyl-tRNA synthetases). tRNAs cope with the degeneracy of the genetic code in two manners: having more than one tRNA (with a specific anti-codon) for a particular amino acid; and 'wobble' base-pairing, i.e. permitting non-standard base-pairing at the 3rd anti-codon position.
Source: Rfam by way of RNAcentral